UCCCGGUUCGUCUAAUGGUAGGACAGCAGACUCUGACUCUGCUUAUCGUGGUUCGAGUCCAUGACCGGGAG
RNAcentral lists this transfer RNA (71 nucleotides) under Bacillati bacterium. RNAcentral's name for it is "tRNA-Gln". It matches the Rfam family "tRNA". Rfam says of the family: Transfer RNA (tRNA) molecules are approximately 80 nucleotides in length. Their secondary structure includes four short double-helical elements and three loops (D, anti-codon, and T loops). The record is from RNAcentral. Lineage: Bacteria; Bacillati. RNAcentral also lists the same sequence under 1 other name.